AGGAUCCAAACGUUUUCAUUCACAGAGUUGGCCGAACUGCUCGGUUGGGUAGACAAGGAAGCGCUAUCGUUUUCCUUUUGCCAAAGGAGGAAGCUUAUGUGGAAUUUCUGCAUAUAAGAAGGGUUCCUCUUCAAAAGAAGGAAGGUUCAGAUGACGCUCCUGAUGUUGUUCCUCAGAUACGGUCUGCUGCCAAGAAGGACCGAGAUGUCAUGGAGAAGGGACUGAGAGCAUUUGUUUCAUUUAUCCGUGCAUAUAAAGAGCAUCAUUGCUCGUACAUUUUCAGAUGGAAAGAACUUGAAGUUGGGAAGUUGGGCAUGGGAUAUGGCUUAUUGCAGCUUCCUUCAAUGCCUGAGGUAAAGCACCACUCACUUUCAACCAUUGGUUUUACUCCAGUUGAAGACCUCAAAUUGGAGGACAUCAAAUACAAGGAUAAAUCUCGGGAGAAACAAAGGAAGAGGAAUUUGCAAGUGAAGAAAGAAGCACAACAGCAAGAACCAAAACCUCAGAAGCCCAACAAGGCCCCCAAUGCUGCCCCAACGGUUAUGAGGAAAAAAACAGCUAAGCAGAGACGGGCUGCCCAGACAAUUGAAGAUGAAGAUGAAUUAGCGAGGGAAUAUCGAUUACUGAAAAAGCUAAAGAAGGGGACCAUCGAUGAAAGUGAAUUUGCAAAGUUAACUGGAACUGAAGAAUUACUAUAAAAAUGCAUGAUCUGCAAAUGGCCAUUUUGUGAACUGACAUGCUUAGGUUUCUGCUGGGACCUGACACUAGAGCUUACAAAAGAGAAAAGGGAGUUAAAGCACUUAUUAUGCAGGUUGACUGCAUCUGGGGGUUUUGUUGAAGACUAGAUUGGCACAACAGAUUGAGUUCUAGAUUUUCUUUCAAUGUUAUUUCUAUCUUAGAUCAAAUUUCAUGCGUUGUAUUUAAAUAUUGCAAGAAAAGGAUCAAAACCAACAUCAAGA
RNAcentral lists this unclassified non-coding RNA (959 nucleotides) under Hevea brasiliensis (rubber tree). Lineage: Eukaryota; Viridiplantae; Streptophyta; Magnoliopsida; Malpighiales; Euphorbiaceae. The record is from RNAcentral.